RNAcentral lists this long non-coding RNA (274 nucleotides) under Helianthus annuus (common sunflower). Its description in RNAcentral is "sRNA HanXRQr2_Chr09g0407301". The record is from RNAcentral. Lineage: Eukaryota; Viridiplantae; Streptophyta; Magnoliopsida; Asterales; Asteraceae.
GGGGGGGGGGUGGCGCUAUCGCGGUUGAGUUGGCAGGGGUGGCGCCCCCACACCCUCCGGCCUAAGGAUGAUCAAUCUUGAUUCCUUUUUAUAAAUGGCAUGCAUUAGACCUGUGUAGCUAGUCACGUGGUAAUGUAAAAAGCAGACCUGUGUAGCUACUUCAACCUGUGAAGCUGAGUACAUUGCUGCCUCAAGGUGUUGCUCCCAAGUUCUGUGGAUUCAACAGCAAAUGCGCGACUACGGUUUUGAAUUCCUAACUACUCCUAUUUAUGUU